This is a long non-coding RNA of Gadus macrocephalus (Pacific cod), 546 nucleotides long. RefSeq lists it as uncharacterized. The transcript is spliced from 2 exons. The record is from RefSeq and is a predicted model, not a curated record. NCBI's taxonomy places the organism in Eukaryota, Metazoa, Chordata, Actinopteri, Gadiformes, Gadidae.
CUCUACCAUGCUGGUUAGCUGCUGGUUGAAGAAGACGCACAGCUUUGUGUGUGCACUACCAAGUUAAGUUAAAGAGCUAGGUAGUUGGCUACGAAGUUAGAUGGUUAGGAAGUUACCAAAAGCUACUGGCUAGCAAACUAAUCUUCAUUCGUUAGUAAUGAGUACAUUAGUUAGUUUGUAAGCUUGUUAUAAGUGUGUCCACUUAGAUAUUUAGCUAGGUAGUUAGCCAGGUAGUUGGUCAAUUAUUAAGUAAAUUAGUUAGAUGGUAGGUUAUCUAGUUGGUUUCCUCUCAACACGCCAGUGUGUUUAUAGAUGGUUAGCUGGUUAUCUGGUUAGUCAGUCAGUUAGCAGGUUAUCGGGGUAGUCAGUUGGUAAGCAGGAUAUCUGGGUAUUCAGUGAGUUAGCAGGUUAUCUGGGUAUUCAGUGAGUUAGCAGGUUAUCUGGGUAGUCAGUGAGUUAGCAGGUUAUCUGGGUAGUCGGUGAGUUAGCAGGUUUUGUGGGUAGUCACUGGGUUAGCAGGUUAUCCGGGGAGUCGGUGAGUUAGCA